This 427-nucleotide ribosomal RNA is filed under the name uncultured Thermomicrobia bacterium. RNAcentral's name for it is "bacterial SSU rRNA". It matches the Rfam family "Bacterial small subunit ribosomal RNA", at positions 354 to 796 of the family's 1533-position model. Lineage: Bacteria; Pseudomonadati; Thermomicrobiota; Thermomicrobia. The record is from RNAcentral.
GCAAGGAAUCUUCCGCAAUGGGCGAAAGCCUGACGGAGCAACGCCGCGUGUGGGAUGACGCCUUUCGGGGUGUAAACCACUUUUCUCAGGGAAGAAGCACUGACGGUACCUGAGGAAGAAGGACCGGCUAACUACGUGCCAGCAGCCGCGGUAAUACGUAGGGUCCGAGCGUUGUCCGGAGUUACUGGGCGUAAAGCGCGCGCAGGCGGCGGUGUAAGCAUGGCGUGAAAGCCCCAGGCUCAACCUGGGAGGGUCGUCGUGGACUGCACCGCUUGAGGGCGGUAGGGGCUGGUGGAAUGCCUGGUGUAGUGGUGAAAUGCGUAGAGAUCAGGCGGAACACCCGUGGCGAAGGCGGCCAGCUGGGCCGUCCCUGACGCUGAGGCGCGAAGGCGUGGGGAGCGAACGGGAUUAGAUACCCGGGUAGUCC